AUGAGCAAUAAUUCAGCAAAAACGAAGAAGAUUGGAAAUGAUAUGAUCUGGGACAGAAGCAAUUCCUUACGUACCGAUGAGCUUGACAAGAUUACGGUGGCGGAGACGGUUGAUGAUGCUCAGUUCGGCGAGGAAGUCCUCCUGCCCCUUGGUGUUGGCCCCGGAGAACUGCUUCACGGCCACCUCCAUGCUCCGCCCGCCUUCCCCGGCCACGGUGGCGCGGUACACCACGCCGUACCCUCCCUGCCCCAGCUUCAUCUUCUUGUCGAAGUUGUUGGUCCCUCUCUUGAGCUCCCUGAAGUCGAACUCCCUCGGCAUCCCCGGGAUGGCGCUCAGGUCAACGGCGGUGACGCCGGCAACCAUCUUGCCCUUCCUCCUGAUGUACAGGCCGGCGAGCAGCCCGAUGGCGAGCGCGACGGCGCACGGCACGCCCACGGCCGCCCCGAGCUUCCACCCCGACAUGGACCUGCUGGCCGUGCUUGA
RNAcentral lists this ribosomal RNA (483 nucleotides) under Triticum aestivum (bread wheat). Its description in RNAcentral is "partial small subunit ribosomal RNA". Lineage: Eukaryota; Viridiplantae; Streptophyta; Magnoliopsida; Poales; Poaceae. The record is from RNAcentral.